This 72-nucleotide transfer RNA is filed under the name Gasterosteus aculeatus (three-spined stickleback). It matches the Rfam family "tRNA". From Rfam's summary of the family: Transfer RNA (tRNA) molecules are approximately 80 nucleotides in length. Their secondary structure includes four short double-helical elements and three loops (D, anti-codon, and T loops). The record is from Rfam by way of RNAcentral. Lineage: Eukaryota; Metazoa; Chordata; Actinopteri; Perciformes; Gasterosteidae.
GAUUCCAGAGCGCAACGGUAGCGCGUCUGACUCCAGAUCACAAGUCUGAGUGUUCAAAUCACGUCAGGGUCA